GAGUUUGUCAGUUGGUCGGGCUUCACUGUCCGUAUUGACUUGAUGAAUUCUUACCUUCUGAAUAACCAGCAUGCUAUUAAGUUAGUGCGUUGGGGAAGCAGAUCUAUUACCUUGAAAAAAUUAGAGUGCUUAAAGCAGGCUUUUGCUUGAAUAGAUUAGCAUGGAAUAAUAAAAUAGGACGGCAUGGUUCUAUUUUGUUGGUUUCUAGGAUCGCCGUA
Molecule: ribosomal RNA, 218 nt
Filed under: Campeiostachys nutans
Lineage: Eukaryota; Viridiplantae; Streptophyta; Magnoliopsida; Poales; Poaceae
Description: Elymus nutans partial small subunit ribosomal RNA
Rfam family: Eukaryotic small subunit ribosomal RNA (bases 33-218)
Source: RNAcentral